RNAcentral lists this ribosomal RNA (463 nucleotides) under Salmonella enterica. Its description in RNAcentral is "partial 23S ribosomal RNA". It matches the Rfam family "Bacterial large subunit ribosomal RNA", at positions 57 to 559 of the family's 2925-position model. The record is from RNAcentral. Lineage: Bacteria; Pseudomonadati; Pseudomonadota; Gammaproteobacteria; Enterobacterales; Enterobacteriaceae. RNAcentral also lists the same sequence under 2 other names.
CGUGCUAAUCUGCGAUAAGCGCCGGUAAGGUGAUAUGAACCGUUAUAACCGGCGAUUUCCGAAUGGGGAAACCCAGUGUGAUUCGUCACACUAUCAUUAACUGAAUCCAUAGGUUAAUGAGGCGAACCGGGGGAACUGAAACAUCUAAGUACCCCGAGGAAAAGAAAUCAACCGAGAUUCCCCCAGUAGCGGCGAGCGAACGGGGAGGAGCCCAGAGCCUGAAUCAGCAUGUGUGUUAGUGGAAGCGUCUGGAAAGGCGCGCGAUACAGGGUGACAGCCCCGUACACAAAAGCGCAUGUGCUGUGAGCUCGAUGAGUAGGGCGGGACACGUGGUAUCCUGUCUGAAUAUGGGGGGACCAUCCUCCAAGGCUAAAUACUCCUGACUGACCGAUAGUGAACCAGUACCGUGAGGGAAAGGCGAAAAGAACCCCGGCGAGGGGAGUGAAAAAGAACCUGAAACCGU